GCUGCAUGUGCAUGCUUUACUUGUGGUUUGGCAGAAAACAGCGCGCGCGUCUACCAAAAGAUGCAUGUGCAUGCUUAACAAGUGGUUUGGCACAAAUCAAUGCGCGUGUGCCGAAAAGAGCAGCAUGGGCGUGCUUAGCACGUGGUUUGGGAGAAAUCCACGUGAGCGCUCUGCCAAAAGCAGCAUGUGCAUGCUUAGCUUGUGGUUUGGCAGAAAACAACGCGCGCGUCUACCAAAAGAUGCAUGUGCAUGCUUAACAAGUGGUUUGGCACAAAUCGAUGCGCGUGCGCUGAAAAGAGCA
This 301-nucleotide long non-coding RNA is filed under the name Dermacentor andersoni. RNAcentral's name for it is "uncharacterized LOC126520238". The record is from RNAcentral. Lineage: Eukaryota; Metazoa; Arthropoda; Arachnida; Ixodida; Ixodidae.